UACGGAGGGUGCGAGCGUUGUUCGGAAUCACUGGGCGUAAAGCGCGUGUAGGCGGCCUUUUAAGUUCGGUGUGAAAGCCCGGGGCUCACCCCCGGAAGUGCACUGGACACUGAGAGACUAGAGUACCGGAGAGGAGGGUGGAAUUCCUGGUGUAGCGGUGAAAUGCGUAGAUAUCAGGAGGAACACCGGUGGCGAAGGCGGCCCUCUGGACGGCUACUGACGCUGAGACGCGAAAGCGUGGGGAGCAAACAGG
RNAcentral lists this ribosomal RNA (253 nucleotides) under uncultured bacterium. Its description in RNAcentral is "partial 16S ribosomal RNA". It matches the Rfam family "Bacterial small subunit ribosomal RNA", at positions 524 to 776 of the family's 1533-position model. The record is from RNAcentral.